UUAAAUCCAACGUGUUCAAAAAGUUAGGCAAAAGACUACUGAAGACUUUAGUAAAAGAGUACAACGUUUCAAAUUGCGUCUCAGAUUAAUAUUCCAACACCAAUUUGGGGAGUUCAACACGCCCAGAUUCUUGAUUCUGUUGUCUCAAAGAAAGGAAACCAAGAAUAAGCUUAGCCCUGCAUGAUUUUAUUCUGUUACUCCCUGAUGAAUUAAGAAAGGUCCAGCAAUGUAACAAUGAAGAGUAUGACAGUCCUGCACUAUUGAAAAUUGAACAAGAUAUUAUCAAGUAAUGCACAAAAUUAUCAUGUCAAUUAUGCAGAAAUAUUGACAGAGAUGCAAAGGUGGAUGUGUUCGGGUAGUCACGGUAUCAAAAAC
This 375-nucleotide long non-coding RNA is filed under the name Vigna radiata. RNAcentral's name for it is "long non-coding RNA (VRAD_LNC002339)". The record is from RNAcentral. Lineage: Eukaryota; Viridiplantae; Streptophyta; Magnoliopsida; Fabales; Fabaceae.